This 5586-nucleotide long non-coding RNA is filed under the name Sus scrofa (pig). Its description in RNAcentral is "lncRNA (ENSSSCG00000060819.1)". The record is from RNAcentral. Lineage: Eukaryota; Metazoa; Chordata; Mammalia; Artiodactyla; Suidae.
UAAUUUUAUUUUAUUUUUCCAGUUUCAAACUCUGAACAUUCUGGAGCCCAUGUGCAAAUACAUCUUUAGUUUGUGUUUCUAGAGUAGAAUUGCUUUUAUCACUUUACUAACUACUGUGCUUUCCCUUCCAAAAGGGUUCCUCAACUAUAAUGAGAUUUUGCAGAUUCAUAGAAUACUCUCCAAAUGUACUUUCUUAGAGACAAUAAGUAGGCUCAGUACUUUGGAAGUAAACAGACUUGAGUUUACAUCUCAGUCAGUUCUGGCACUUAGCUCCUGGGCAAGCUCACCAAGCUUUGAGUUCCUUGCCUAUAAAACGAGGAUACUAUUACUGAUCCUUGAGGGCUAUUGGGAGGACAAAGGUGAUAACAUCUAAAAGCGUUUGGCACUUAGUAGGUGUCCGAUAAGCCAUAGUUAUUAUUAAUGAGUCCAUGACCCAAAUUACACCACUUGAGAAAAGUGCAGUAACCAGCAGUUUCCAGAAACAGAAGUGAAUGACAUCUUGACAACAAAAACAUUCAGAUGAAUAGAUGCGUAGAAGCCACCUUUAGUUGGUUUUGAAUUUCAUCAGCAUUUCAAUCUCCUUCUUAUUAAAACCCUGAGAAGCCACUAAUUGUAUUAGUUCCUUCAACAUUUGAUCUACGUCUGCAAUUCAAUCUCCAGAAGUAAACUCAGCCCAGACAGCAUGCCUAGUUUACCUUUGGAUAUUUUAUAGGACAUGGAGGUUUAUACAAGGAGUUAUGCUUUGUUAAUUCUAGGUUCCCAGGGUAAUGUGACGAUUAACUGGCAUUCCCUGAGCACACGCUGACAUAGAUGUCCCACCUCAUUUAUCACUCUGGCUUAACAUUAGAAAGGAGUCUUUUCCUGUCCCACGUCCCACUGCCCUGUGGCCAAGUUUACCUGUGUAUUUCUCUAGCUUCUCCAUGUUGUAUUAUGGCGUGAUUGUUGGCACUGGUUGCUCUUCAUGUUGGGGGCUCUAAAAGAAUACUUACUCUCACAUCCAUUAUUUCAUUUGAUUGCUAGCUUUCAGCUGUAGUAACCAACUUGUUUGUGCACCUGGUCCCUCAGACGUAGAUGGAAAUAUCUGCCAUAUCAACCUAAGUCAUGGCUAAGGCAGGACCACACAUUUCUUGCCAAGAAAUCAUUUGGGGCUUAUAAACAAGGAAUGGGUUCCAAAUCCCCAUGUCCAGUAAUAUCCACAUUGCCCUAAGCCUUAGUGCACCUAUUUAAUUCUUUCUCUCAGCUGCCAUCAGCCAUCCACCAAAGAAAAGCAGAGGCAAAUACAAAGGGAUAAUUAUGGGAAGCCUAUUUAUUUUAAAAAAUGGCUCUUCAUGGUUUGAAAAAACAGAGAAAGAGAGAAAUCAAAACCCACAAAAUGCAGCUCCAGCAGACUUUGGCAGAGGUGUGUGGUGAAGCCUGGCUAGAUGGUUGGAAUGGCAUGGUGGAGAAAAGAGAGCUUUGCGAUUACAACACAGUCUCUGAUCUGUGACUGUGCCAUUCAGCAAGCGGGGACCUUGGACAUGUUACAUGGCCCCUCUGUAGUUCCUUCACCUCACCAAUAAAAUAAGGUUAAUUUCAAUACCUACCUCACAAAGCCAGUGUGAACAUUCAAUAAGUCUAAAAAAUGUAAAGCUCUUAGCCCCACAUAAAGUUAUAUGAAUGUGGGAUAUUGGUGUUUUGGAUUUAAGAGUCCAAGUUCUGGGAUAGGCUGCCUGAUUGUGGGCCUGCCACUUACUAUCUGGCUGACCUGGAGCAGGUAACUUACCCUUUUGAAUGUGCUUCUACAUUUGUUAAGUGGGAAUGAUAACAUUAUGUCAGGGGAUUCUUUUAAGAAGCAAUGGAUGACAUACAUUGUUUGGUCUUUAGAAAGUACUCAUCAAUAUACAAUGUCAGUUCAUAUUACUGUGGGUGAACUAUGUUACAAGAUAUUUGUACCAUGUCUACAAAAAAAUUUGGUCUGGUAUGAGUGGCCAUGGAUUCCUGCACUCUCUCUUCUAGUUUCUCACAAAGUCUGGUUUUAAAAUACCCCUACGUCCACAGAAAACUAUCUGGAGACAUGGAAUGCCAUUCUUAUUAAUAUGUUGGGAUUUUAUUGAUGAGGCAACAUGUAACCAGUAGACCUUGGGCCUCAGCCAGAGCAGUCAUUACUGAAGUAAAAAAUGGACCUAAUUAUAAGGUGGUUUUAGCUAAAAGGUCAGCCAAUGCCAUGGAAUUGGAGGCUGGAGUUAUGGGAAGCGUCUACGUGUAUUAUAUUGCAUGUCAAUAUUAACACACAUUCUAUUACUGCUCCAUGAAUGUUACACUAUUUAGAGGCCUCAACUUCCUACUCUGUGGGUACAAUCACCCCCCACCCCCCCAACGCACACUGAUACACACGUGCUGUUAGCUGGAGCCACUAGGUGCCUCAAGUCCCAUGAUUCUGAAUGCUGAUUUGUUGCUGAGGGACUCCUUUUUCUCAGGCUAGUUACACAGUUGAAAUGAGUCCUUGCUGCUUGUAAGUCUUGUUCCAUAAUUUCAUUUGGCUGAGGCAGGAGACAAGUACCUCAUUUUAAUUAGAAUUUCAAGCAAACUGCAUUAUGUCAUUGUGUGUUAUUCCAAGAGAAUAUACCACAUCGAGGACAGAUGUUGAUAGAGUAAAUCAUCCUGUGUAUUCUGCCGAAGAAAUAAAAAUCCUUUUCUUCACUUAGACAGCUCUCAUGAUGCUGCUCCUCACACAUCCCCUAGAACCAAAAGAUGUGCCCCGAGGCUCUCCAGAACAGUUGAUGUGUUAAACAAGAUGCCAGGUAAUAACUACCAGGGCGCUCAUGACGCUGUGGCAUCACCAUGUCAUUAGCGUGCAAAUCGCAACUAUUAUUCCUGCUCUCUGCCUGCUGCAAAUCACAGAAUCCCUCGAGGGAUCCCCUCUCCGCCUGUUGCCCCGAGAAAGGUCCUAGAGUGUGUGGAAGAAAACCGGGGCUGUGUUGCUUUAGACCGGCAAUUAAGCCCCUGCUGCUCUCCAAACCAAUGAGUCUUUCCAAGUCAUAAUCUAAUUUAUUUUUUUCCAUUUUCUAAGUAAUGCCAGGGUAAGCGCGUUCAUCAUUUUAGACUCCCUGAUUCUAAUUCCUCAUUCAGACUUGUUUGUUCAGAAGAAGGUAAACAACCCCAAGCUAUCACCCACCCCAUUUAUUUGCAAAGAGAGAGUUUCAGUUGGGGAAGAUAAAUCGCAUGUCAAACAUGGUUAGGAGGGACGGAGACUGAACAAUUUCGAGUUUCCUUCGCCUGUCUCCAGCUGUUGUGGCCCAGGGUGACUCUGGCAGCUGUGUGCUGGCUUGGCUGAGCUGCUGUUUAGUCAAGUCAGAUCAAUACUUCUAAGUAUUUGCCUGAUAUGAUCAAGUUAGGCUAGUCCAGGAAUUCACACAUUGAACCACAUGGAUGGAGCUAACUUGUUUCUAGUAAUCUGUCCAUGAAAACAAGCUCAACAGGUUGAUACCUAUAACCCUAAAGUCCCUGAGAAGAUUAAAGGCAGACCACUUUUAGGGGACUGGUGGACCCAAAUGGCCCUGGGGAUGUAUCAAUUCAAGUCCAAGAGCAUUUAUUGGGUGCUACGAUAUAUAAGGAAACAUAAGAGAUACAAAGAUCAGCAAGAUAUAGUCCCAAUUCUCAAGAAUAAUUUAGUACCAGGCUAUAAAAACAUCAGUAGCUAAUUAAUUGUUAUUUAGAUUUGGCCUUGUUCCAAAAGAAUCUAAGACAGACACGUAUUUGCAAAAAUACAUCCCAUAAGUCAAAAUGAAAUAAAAUACGAUACAUGAGAUGGAGUUGGGGAAAAUUCAAAUGAAGCUGCAAGUGAAGGUAGUUCAAAGCAAUAUGAGAAAUAAUGCUUACAAGUGGUAGGCUAUAGAUUUGUGCUGGAGCUUCCUAGAAGUUGUCACAAAACCAGAAACAAAUUGACUGUAUGAUUGACAAUGUCUACAUUGAUCUAGCUCAGGAAAAGAAGGAUUAGACCAGGUAUGGGAGACUACGCAGAUCUUGCUCACACUAAAAGGACCAUGAUUUGUGCUAGUGGGUCUUCAUGUACUUAGAGGCAAUAUAGUCAUGAUUUUCACUGGCUGGGAAUAAGGAAUGUUUUGCUGCUUAUGUCACAGUCAUUUCUUGUCACCUUCUUCUUUGCUGCAAACACCCCCCUCGUAUACACCUCAGGGGCUGAAAGUCCUGGCUAUCAGCUCUGCCAGACUCCCUUGGACAUGUGACCCAAUCAUGGCAAAUGGGCCCCAAUGAGGAGGAUGCUGGGAAGCUCCCUGUCUAUUGAUAAACAGCAAGUCUGGAUAUAUUUAUUCGUGUUCUAGAACAAGCAAAGGCACUAUAAAUGUUACUGAGAUUCAUGAAAAAAUACUGCAGUGUCAAAAAUGGAAACAUUUGACUCAAAACACGGGCCAAUUUCUGAAAGUGAUCUUCUACAAGAUUCAGAAGAUAACUUCAGGAAAUCACUUGGAAAUCCUUGAAAGAAGGCAGGAAGUCAGGCCACCAUAAAUUGGAAGCUUAAGGAGACAAAAAGAUGAGAUUAAAAUUCAGAUCUUUGGAACUGACAAAGAUCUCAAAAGAUCUAAAAAGGUAAUGGGGCUUCCAGGAAAAGAUAGAGCUUUGAACUAACAUCUCAUCCUCCCAAAUCUUCAUGAAAUAUAUGUAUAAAAAUAAACUAUAGGAGUUCCCAUCGUGGCUCAGUGGUUAACGAAUCUGAUUAGCAUCCAUAAGGAUGGAGGUUCGAUCCCUAGCCUCACUCAUUGAGUUACAGAUCUGGCGUUGCUGUGAGAUGUGGUAUAGGUCACAGACAUGGCUCAGAUCCUGCAUUGCUGUGGCUGUGGUGUAAACCAGCAGCUGCAGCUGCAAUUUGACCCCUAGCCUGAGAAACUCCAUAUGCCUCGGGUUCAGCCCUAAAGAGCAAACAAAUAAACAAACAAAAAACUAUAAUUAAUAUCACCCGAAAGAUAAAGGAGUUACACACUUGAAACAAGAACAGGAUGCUCUAAAAACGGAACACAGAAAAUGUAAAAGGGCCUUUGGAUAAUAUAUUGUACAGCACAGGGAAGUAUAGCAACUAUUUUUUAAUGACGUUGAAUGAAGUAUAAUGUAUAAGUGUCGAAUCAAUGUAUUAUACAUUGAAACAAUGUAAUAUUAUAAGUCACCUAUACUUCAAUGAAAAUAGAUAUUUGGAUAAAUGCAAUGGAAAAUGGAAUUUGCAUGAAAAAUAGUAAAAAUAUGAAUCAUGUGGUGAAACUUUGAAUCAGUUGUAUAGAAAAUGAUCUUUGAAAAUUUCCCUGAUUUGCAGAAGCACAAUCAGAGAGAUUAAAAUGAUAGGUAUAAGAUAGAUACAGAAGGCAUAUAAAGAAAGAAAGCACAGAUCAUUUGUAUUCUCAGAAAGAAUAUCAGUUUAAGAAUAAGAGAAAAACUAACCAAAUCUAAGAAGAAAAAAAAGCCUUUUUGAGAUGAAAAAAGCUCUGUACUUGUAGGUUCAAAGCACCCACACAUCCAAGUCAAAUGGAUUUUAAAAGACCCAAUCCAGGCACAUUCUGGCCAACUUUGGGACUAAAAGAAUGAAGGGAAAUUUGCAAGGCC